CCCUUAGACGUUCUGGGCCGCACGCGCGCUACACUGACCAGUGCAAUAAGCAUCCGUCCUUGGCCGACAGGCCCGGGCAAUCUUUGAACGCUGGUCGUGAUGGGGAUAGACUUUUGCAAUUUUUGGUCUUCAACGAGGAAUUCCUAGUAAACGCAAGUCAUCAACUUGCAUUGAUUACGUCCCUGCCCUUUGUACACACCGCCCGUCGCACCUACCGAUUGAAUGGUCCGGUGAAGCCUCCGGAUUGGCGCGCACCCCGGUGCCGCCGAGAAGUUGGCUAAACCUUACCAUUUAGAGGAAGGUGAAGUCGUAACA
This 315-nucleotide ribosomal RNA is filed under the name uncultured eukaryote. RNAcentral's name for it is "partial 18S ribosomal RNA". It matches the Rfam family "Eukaryotic small subunit ribosomal RNA", at positions 1470 to 1796 of the family's 1831-position model. The record is from RNAcentral.